AUUGAACGCUGGCGGCAGGCCUAACACAUGCAAGUAGAACGAGUGGCAGAGGGGAGAGUAAUGUCUGGGAAACUGCCUGAUGGAGGGGGAUAACUACUGGAAACGGUAGCUAAUACCGCAUACCAUCGGAUGUGCCCGGAUGGGAUUAGCUAGUAGGUGGGGUAAAGGCUCACCAAGGCGACGAUCCCUAGCCGGCCUGAGAGGGUGAGCAGCCACACUGGACCUGAGACACGGUCCAGACGCCUACGGGAGGCAGAAGUGGGGAGUAUUGCACAAUGGGCGCAAGCCUGAUGCAGCCAUGCCGCGUGUAGGAGGAGGGCCUUCGGGUUGUAAAGUACUUUCAGCGGGGAGGCGUUACCCGCAGAAGAAGCACCGGCUAACUCCGUGCCAGCAGCCGCGGUAAUUC
This 406-nucleotide ribosomal RNA is filed under the name uncultured bacterium. RNAcentral's name for it is "partial 16S ribosomal RNA". It matches the Rfam family "Bacterial small subunit ribosomal RNA", at positions 29 to 526 of the family's 1533-position model. The record is from RNAcentral.